This 262-nucleotide ribosomal RNA is filed under the name uncultured archaeon. RNAcentral describes it as "partial 16S ribosomal RNA". It matches the Rfam family "Archaeal small subunit ribosomal RNA", at positions 748 to 1008 of the family's 1478-position model. The record is from RNAcentral.
AGGGUGUAAACGCUGCAGACUUGGUGUUGGAAGUCCUUUGGGGGUAUUCAGUGCCGGAGAGAAGUUGUUAAGUCUGCUACUUGGGGAGUACGUCCGCAAGGAUGAAACUUAAAGGAAUUGGCGGGGGAGGCACCGCAACGGGAGGAGCGUGCGGUUUAAUUGGAUUCAACACCGUAAAACUCACCCGGGAAGACUGUUACAUGAAGGCCGAGAUGAAGACUCUGCUAGAUUUUCAGAGAGGAGGUGCAUGGCGUCAGUGACU